AUUGAACGCUGGCGGCAUGCCUUACACAUGCAAGUCGAACGGUAACAGGUUAAGCUGUCGAGUGUCGAGCGGGUGAGUGAUGUAUCGGAACGUGCCCCGUCGUGGGGUAUAACUUCGCGGAAGAGCAGCUAAUACCGCAUACGACCUGAGGGCGAAAGCGGGGGAUCGGAAGACAUCGGGCGAUUGGAGCGGGCGCGAUCGGAUGAGGCAGUUGGGGAGGUAAAGGCUGACCAAGCCGAGGAUCAGUAGCGGGUCUGAGAGGACGACCAGCCACACUGGGACUGAGACACGGCCCAGACUCCUACGGGAGGCAGCAGUGGGGAAUUUUGGACAAUGGGCGCAAGCCUGAUCCAGCCAUGCCGCGUGCGGGAAGAAGGCCUUCGGGUUGUAAAACGCUUUUGUCAGGGAAGAAAAGGUUCUGGCUAAUACCUGGGACUCAUGACGGCACCUGAAGAAUAAGCACCGGCUAACUACGUG
RNAcentral lists this ribosomal RNA (477 nucleotides) under uncultured bacterium. RNAcentral's name for it is "partial 16S ribosomal RNA". It matches the Rfam family "Bacterial small subunit ribosomal RNA", at positions 29 to 507 of the family's 1533-position model. The record is from RNAcentral.